GCUGAGCCUGAUGCGGUCCGGCGCUUUGCCGCGUUGUUGCCGCAGCGUGCAGGACUGGGCACCGCGUUCGGCGCGCGGCUUCGGCU
RNAcentral lists this transfer RNA (86 nucleotides) under Sphingosinicella microcystinivorans. RNAcentral's name for it is "tRNA-Asn". The record is from RNAcentral. Lineage: Bacteria; Pseudomonadati; Pseudomonadota; Alphaproteobacteria; Sphingomonadales; Sphingosinicellaceae.